UCCUACGGGAGGCAGCAGUGGGGAAUUUUGGACAAUGGGCGAAAGCCUGAUCCAGCCAUUCCGCGUGAGUGAAGAAGGCCUUCGGGUUGUAAAGCUCUUUCGGCAGGAACGAAACGGUGGUGUCUAAUACCCCCCACUACUGACGGUACCUGAAGAAGAAGCACCGGCUAACUACGUGCCAGCAGCCGCGGUAAUAUAAC
This 200-nucleotide ribosomal RNA is filed under the name uncultured bacterium. Its description in RNAcentral is "partial 16S ribosomal RNA". It matches the Rfam family "Bacterial small subunit ribosomal RNA", at positions 337 to 529 of the family's 1533-position model. The record is from RNAcentral.